CGGCGACCGAGCCAACGCCGCCAUCGCCCCGGCUGCCGCUGCCUCGGGAAGCGAGAAACGAAACUCGGGCUGGGGCUUUCCGGGAAUAUGCGUGCCCUGUCCCCGCCCCGGCGGGAGGGGCGGCAGCCCCGGACCGGCCCCCGGCAGCGCCCCGGGACCCGCCCGCCCGACGGGCGGCAGCGGCGGGCCGGGCAGCGCCGGGGGAGCCGGGCCGGGGGGGGGGGGGGGGGGGGGGGGGGGGCUCCGGGCGCCGCCGCCCUCCCCGCCGGGGCCGUGGGUGGCUGCAGGGCGGCUGCCGUGACUCGGGGGGAGGCAGCAGGGCCCCGCCGUCCCGCCGGAGGACCCCCCCGAGCCGGGGGGAGCCGCUGUGCCGCGGCAGGUCUCGGGUUUGGUUUGUAAAGCAAAGGGAAUGCCUCGGGACGCGAAGGCCCACCGGAGUGCCCGCCCCGCCGCGGCGGGAGCGCUGCCUGCCGGCCGCCCCGCUCCCCUCCCGGACGGGACGCGGAGACUCCGGAGGCUCCGGCAGCUGCCUGCGCUCUUCGCCGCUGCCCGCGAGCGUGUGCUUGAGGCCAGGCGAGCAUGUGAACCCCGGCUCUCACCGUGCGCCCGGCCAAGCUGCCGCCAGCCCCGGCUGCUGUCCUCCAAGCCACACUUAACCCGGCAGUUGAAGACCAAAGAAGCUGUUGUUGAUCCAGUAUUUGUAAGACGGGUUACUGCACUGUGAGUGUGGAAACUGCCUCAACAGAAGAUACUGGCUCAAUUUUUCUUUUUUUCCCUCUGUCUAACUGUUGAAUAAUUUCUGUUUCUACCACAAACAUCGGAUGCUGAAUAGCGAUGUGUGCAACUGCUCCUGUCUUAACUAACUUGACUCCAAAUUCUUCCAGUGGCCUCUUCUGCCCUGUCUGCUGGUGUCCCAGGGACUGCCUCAGUGCCCUCCAGGCUUCUCCACUGACACCGGCAGCAUGGAUGAAAUGGAGCAGCCUGGCACAAACCUGUGAUCCCCCCCGAAGUUAAACAGAGCCUGGUGGUCUGCAGCAGAAGCAGCCAUCUGCUCCCAACUGCAUUUCCAGUGGCCAAAGGACACUUAGUGUGGAGAACUGCUGGUGUUCCUUGUAAUGUCGUUAAAAAAGUAUUAGCAGGGAAUUGUGGGGUUUCUGUGUUGGCAUUAGACCUCAGAGACUUCAAAAAAUGUUCAGGAAUCAUAUAAAGCACUCAAAAGAGGCACUGGCGGUCUGUCAUAGUGCUUUUAAAGAAAUCCCUAGCCCAUCAUUUUGGAAGACUAAAUUAUAUCUGAGCAGUCUUUGUAAACCUACGUUACACAGAUAAUGUUGACUUCUACCUACAUCAGUGAUCUGCUCCUGUCUCGUAACACUCCUGCAGGAUGAACUGGGGAGGGGUCUCAUGUCACGGGCUUUAUUCACUCGGUGAUGGUGCAGAAAGGACAACAGGAGGCGUUCAGAGCUGCCGUGGCUUUGGCAGAGGAGCGCAAGUUCAGGGAUCAAGUGAAUGAAGCACUUCUUCCUGGGCUUAUCUGGACUAGGCCACGCCAUCUUUCAAAGGCUCAACAUCUUCCCUGUGUUUCCUGCAGCACUCAUCUGGUAUCUAACUCAUGCAGGCAAAGGUACUUGAGAACGUCUUCACGUGGUUCUGAACUAAAUCUAACCCUUUGCCCAGAUAUUGUGCGUUGAAAGCGCUGGAGUUGGAGCAGGAAGUCAGAAGCACAGCAGAACAAAUUGUGCCUCUCUACAUGUGGCUGAGCAAUCAUCAAGACACAUAUUCUGACAUUCUUUGACUUCUUUGGAUUUAAUAUUCCAAGCAAACUACCUCUGAAUGGCAACUAUACAGCUCCAGCCAAACCCAGAUGUUUAGAUGGAAUUACUGACAGUACAAGGUCAUAUUUCAUCUUUUUGAUUAAACCAUUCCAGUUCUGCAGCUCGCAGCUGUAGGAUAUAAAAUUGUUAUUAAGCUUCCAUUAAAAAAAACCCACAACACAGAUCUAUAUUAAAGACUUCCUAUAAUAAACAAAGUAUUCCAUAUUACAUAAAAACAUAUACUAAGAAAAAAGUGUUUCUUUUGGCAUAGUUUCUUUUUAAAACCAUUUAUUAAAAACACCCACCAGUGCAUCUGCUGCCCUCAGAACUAGAAGCCAGCAUUUCACAAAACAAGUCCGUACCAUUAUUUACAUUUGUUCACAUUAGAUUGUUCCAUUUUCAAUGCUGGAUCCGUUAACUGGAGGCUCAACAAUCAGUCUUGGCUCUAUCAGGGCAUCCCAACUUUCAGUUAUCUGAAAAUGAAACACAGACAAUAUCUGGCAUGUAUGAGCUAUACGGACCGAUGCAAUUUCUCCUGCAUUAUGCUUUGUUUAGACUUGAACAGCACUACCGAACGAAGAUCACAGAUCCUUCAUGUGAUUCGUCGAUCCUAGUGACCCUCAACCUGCCUGACAUCCUGGGUAAGGAAGGAGGCAGGAAAUGAAACCACAGUGGAGAUGAGUUACUGACUCCUCAUACUGACUGGACAAAUCUUAUUUUGUAAAUACCUAUGAGCACCUUCAGGACAACUCGCAAGUGUUAGACUUCUCAAUUUAAACAGACUUUUUAGGGAGGGAGUGAGGAGGGGAGGGGUGUGUUGAGAAGAAGCCCAAGGAAAUUAGAAAUACUCCUGAAACACAAACUGUGCCUCAGACUAGCUGUUUUCCAAGUGAUGCACAUGACAACAAGCAUUUGGUGUCCCAGGGUACGUACGUUGUUC
Non-coding RNA from Phalacrocorax carbo (great cormorant), 2751 nucleotides. The record is from RefSeq and is a predicted model, not a curated record. Lineage: Eukaryota; Metazoa; Chordata; Aves; Suliformes; Phalacrocoracidae.